This 319-nucleotide unclassified non-coding RNA is filed under the name Hevea brasiliensis (rubber tree). Lineage: Eukaryota; Viridiplantae; Streptophyta; Magnoliopsida; Malpighiales; Euphorbiaceae. The record is from RNAcentral.
AGAAAACUCAUAACAGCCAGCUGCUCCCGUUGAGCCUGCUGAACUUUUCAUAACAUUAACUAUUAAGCCUUUACUAUUCAUAGUUUAAAUAGGAAAGAAUAUUAAACAAAAAACAAAGCAUAUAUUGUGGUGGUCAAACCAGUGAUGAACUGCGAAGGUUAGCAAUGGUUUUUAAACUAGUGAGUAUAUGGCCAUAUGGUUCUCUUACAAAUUUCUUCUCUUUUUAUGAGUUCAGAUUAAACCUUAAAAAUUACCUCCCGUUUGAGAACUAGGAAGUCAUUUGCUUAGACCAUGACAUAGUUUUUGUUGACCCCGUGUA